GUUUCCGGUCUCAAUGAGUGAAAAGGGAAUCCAGUGGAAAUCUGGAGCUGACGCGCAGCGGUAAGGACUGGCGGGAUGAAUGUUGUAGACACUGUGAAAAUGGGAAGUCUUCAUCCAUAUAACGCCACCCAGCCCGAAGACCUGCCGGGAUC
RNAcentral lists this non-coding RNA (152 nucleotides) under insect gut metagenome. The record is from RNAcentral.